Molecule: long non-coding RNA, 1082 nt
Filed under: Equus asinus (donkey)
Lineage: Eukaryota; Metazoa; Chordata; Mammalia; Perissodactyla; Equidae
Description: lncRNA (ENSEASG00005036928.1)
Source: RNAcentral
CUGCCCCGAGUUGAGGGUUAGGGCUAAAUUUAAGGCAUAGGUAUGUGAGUCAUCUCUUUACAAAGACAAAGGAAAGAACAUGAAAAAAAAAGUUAAAAUGGUAUCAGUGCAGGUGGGGUCUGGUCGUUGGGUGAUCCCAUGACUUUUAGACAAGAAUCAAAUGGGAUUAAGUAAAGGUCAGAAGCCACCACCCUAAAUCAGUUACAUGAGAUUGCCAGACAACAACCAACUUAAGUUCUUGCCUUCCCCAUUGAGAGUUUCUAGGGACAAGGUCAUCUCUCCUCUUCUUCCUGGUACAGAGAGGGAGGCACCUUACAAAUGUACAGAUAGAGAUUUACCUUACGAAUGUAAAUGUGUCCCAACAAGGGCAAGUUCCAUUCCCCAGAGCCUCCUUCCCUGUCCCAGUUUAUCAAAAGCAAUCAGCCCAAAACAAUCCUGAUGCCAAAGAGUCAUAUCUUGGGGUGGCCAAUUUCAGGUCCCUACAAGCUCAUCCCCCCUUCCUUCACAUAUGCAAAUGUCUCUCAAAAGGGCAAGCAAAAUUCCAGUCCUCGGAGCCUGCUUCUCAUCUGUAGUUUUAAAAGUAACCAGCCUAAAAUCCUCAUCAUAAACUGUCCAAAAAAAUUGCAAGUUUAUUGUCAAACAAAUGAUUUUUUUGCUCAAAUAGGAUGAACAACCAUUUAUUUAAAAAAUUGAUGUAAACAUUCUAAUAUUUAAAAGGUUGCAUAUCCUACAUUUUAAUUGAAAAAUUAACUAUUAAAAAUAAUUUAAGGGAUCUCAUCAAGAUGGCAGCGUGAGCAGACUUUGAACUCGUCUCCUCCUACGCACACAACCAGGUGACAACUAUUCUUGGAAAAAUUACCCCUGACUGAAAACUGAAAACUGGAUAAAAAGAACCCCCACAACAAGGGACCGUCCUGACUAAGGCAGAAGAGGCAGAAAAUCCUGCCAGAGAGGAAAAAAGCCACCUUUGGGAGCAGUGGAGCUUCUCAGCUGGCCAGGCGGGAGCCACCCUAAGUUAAUUGGAGCCAUGUGACUAGGUAGUGGCCGAUGGAAUGCCACCAAUCCCCAGUUUGACUGCCCAC